This 497-nucleotide ribosomal RNA is filed under the name uncultured bacterium. Its description in RNAcentral is "partial 16S ribosomal RNA". It matches the Rfam family "Bacterial small subunit ribosomal RNA", at positions 28 to 507 of the family's 1533-position model. The record is from RNAcentral.
GAUGAACGCUGGCGGCGUGCCUAAUACAUGCAAGUCGAGCGAACAGACGAGGAGCUUGCUCCUCUGACGUUAGCGGCGGACGGGUGAGUAACACGUGGAUAACCUACCUAUAAGACUGGGAUAACUUCGGGAAACCGGGGCUAAUACCGGAUAAUAUAUUGAACCGCAUGGUUCAAUAGUGAAAGACGGCUUUGCUGUCACCUAUAGAUGGAUCCGCGCCGCAUUAGCUAGUUGGUAAGGUAACGGCUUACCAAGGCGACGAUGCGUAGCCGACCUGAGAGGGUGAUCGGCCACACUGGAACUGAGACACGGUCCAGACUCCUACGGGAGGCAGCAGUAGGGAAUCUUCCGCAAUGGGCGAAAGCCUGACGGAGCAACGCCGCGUGAGUGAUGAAGGUCUUCGGAUCGUAAAACUCUGUUAUUAGGGAAGAACAAAUGUGUAAGUAACUAUGCACGUCUUGACGGUACCUAAUCAGAAAGCCACGGCUAACUACGUG